RNAcentral lists this ribosomal RNA (253 nucleotides) under uncultured bacterium. RNAcentral's name for it is "partial 16S ribosomal RNA". It matches the Rfam family "Bacterial small subunit ribosomal RNA", at positions 524 to 776 of the family's 1533-position model. The record is from RNAcentral.
UACAUAGGGUCCGAGCGUUGUCCGGAAUUACUGGGCGUAAAGAGCUCGUAGGUGGUUUGUCGCGUUGUUCGUGAAAACUCACAGCUCAACUGUGGGCGUGCGGGCGAUACGGGCAGACUUGAGUACUGCAGGGGAGACUGGAAUUCCUGGUGUAGCGGUGGAAUGCGCAGAUAUCAGGAGGAACACCGGUGGCGAAGGCGGGUCUCUGGGCAGUAACUGACGCUGAGGAGCGAAAGCGUGGGGAGCGAACAGG